GAUGAAGAACGUAGCGAAAUGCGAUACUUGGUGUGAAUUGCAGAAUCCCGUGAACCAUCGAGUCUUUGAACGCAAGUUGCGCCCGAAGCCAUUAGGCCGAGGGCACGCCUGCCUGGGCGUCACACGUCGUUGCCCCCCCCAUCUACUCCUUCGGGAUUGCGGGGGGCGGAUGAUGGCCUCCCGUGCGCCUCGCCGCGCGGUUGGCAUAAAUGCCAAGUCCUCGGCGACGCACGCCACGACAAUCGGUGGUUGCGAAACCUCGGUUGCCCGUCGUGUACGGUCGUCGCGCAUCGAGGGCUCGAAAAAAUUGCCGAGUUCCGGCUCGGCUUUCAACGCGACCCCAGGUCAGGCGGGGUUACCCGCUGAAUUUAAGCAUAUCAAUAAGCGGAGGA
Molecule: unclassified non-coding RNA, 392 nt
Filed under: soil metagenome
Description: partial contains 5.8S ribosomal RNA, internal transcribed spacer 2, and large subunit ribosomal RNA
Rfam family: 5.8S ribosomal RNA (bases 1-122)
Source: RNAcentral